CCUACGGGUGGCAGCAGUGAGGAAUAUUGGUCAAUGGGCGUGAGCCUGAACCAGCCAAGUCGCGUGAGGGAAGACGGUCCUAUGGAUUGUAAACCUCUUUUGUCGGGGAGCAAAAGUGGCCACGCGUGGCGUUCCGAGAGUACCCGAAGAAAAAGCAUCGGCUAACUCCGUGCCAGCAGCCGCGGUAAUACGGAGGAUGCGAGCGUUAUCCGGAUUUAUUGGGUUUAAAGGGUGCGCAGGCGGAAGAUCAAGUCAGCGGUAAAAUUGAGAGGCUCAACCUCUUCGAGCCGUUGAAACUGGUGUUCUUGAGUGAGCGAGAGGUAGGCGGAAUGCGUGGUGUAGCGGUGAAAUGCAUAGAUAUCACGCAGAACUCCGAUUGCGAAGGCAGCAUACCGGCGCGCUACUGACGCUGAUGCACGAAAGUGUGGGUAUCGAACAGGAUUAGAUACCCCAGUAGUC
This 459-nucleotide ribosomal RNA is filed under the name uncultured bacterium. RNAcentral's name for it is "partial 16S ribosomal RNA". It matches the Rfam family "Bacterial small subunit ribosomal RNA", at positions 338 to 795 of the family's 1533-position model. The record is from RNAcentral.